CCUACGGGAGGCAGCAGUGAGGAAUAUUGGUCAAUGGGCGCGAGCCUGAACCAGCCAAGUAGCGUGAAGGAUGACUGCCCUACGGGUUGUAAACUUCUUUUAUAAAGGAAUAAAGUGAGGUACGUGUGCUUUUCUGUAUGUACUUUAUGAAUAAGGAUCGGCUAACUCCGUGCCAGCAGCCGCGGUAAUACGGAGGAUCCGAGCGUUAUCCGGAUUUAUUGGGUUUAAAGGGUGUGUAGAUGGUUUGUUAAGUCAGUUGUGAAAGUUUGGGGCUCAACCCUAAAACUGCAUUUAAUACUGUCGAUCUUGAGUACAGUUGAGGUAGGCGGAAUGCAUGGUGUAGCGGUGAAAUGCUUAGAGAUCACGAAGAACACCGAUUGCGAAGGCAGCUUACUAAACUGCCACUGACAUUGAUGCUCGAAAGUGUGGGUAUCAAACAGGAUUAGAUACCCUGGUAGUC
RNAcentral lists this ribosomal RNA (460 nucleotides) under uncultured bacterium. Its description in RNAcentral is "partial 16S ribosomal RNA". It matches the Rfam family "Bacterial small subunit ribosomal RNA", at positions 338 to 795 of the family's 1533-position model. The record is from RNAcentral.